UGGCAGCGGAGAAGGUUGGAGGAAGAAGAGAAGUCUCUGAGUUCGGUACGGGGAGAAAACGGUGGAGGAAGAAGAAGAAGUAGGAGGAGGAGGAGGAGCGUAGUCGCAUAAUUCAGAAUCGACAAAGCGGCAGAUUAUGGAAAUAGAGUCCCUGAGUCGGAGACAGAGUUCUCUCUCUUUAGAUCGAGCCCUCUCUGUCUAUCCAACUUCUUCUCCUCCACCUACGAACCUCCAUCUCUCUCUUUUGCUCGCGUUGCUCGUGUUGGAAGCCGUAUGGUGUUGCCAUGACGACCAUUGUGCCACACUCUCUUCCACCUCCACCUUCACUCCACCUUCUCGGGCCCCCCUCUACUUCCUCCACCUACUCACUCGUCAAGCUCCAACACAGCGCCUCCACCAACGAACCUUUCCCCCUCUCCUGCCAGCGACUACAGCGCCACCGUUCCCGCCCCCCUCUUAGCCACCCAACAACCGAUCCAGCAACCCCACCGUGUGUACCUCAUCUCUCUAACGACUUGUUGUUAAUGUUGUAUCAACUCACCCUGUAAACAGCCUCUUUCUCUCUCCCUCCAGUUUCUUCUGUUUCUCUCUCUGUCUUGCUUUUAGAGUAUCUCUUACCCUUUCUGUUGUGUCUUCCCCCGUUUCUCUACGUCUUGCUCUCCUUCAACCCUGCCCUUCCUAUUCCACUCUCUCGUCCCGCUGUCUGUAAACCAACCAGCCGGUUGUGCGCGCUCGCUCACCAGCAAGUUGAGCGUGUGCACGAGCAAAGGUGCCGCGGGGGUGGACUUUUUAGGAGGCGUAACUGGUGUUCGAAUUUUUCAGGCGUCAGGUUCUUCUGCCUCUCCAGAAGUUUUCGGGUGUUUUUGUAGUUUCAUUAUUCCGUUACGAAGCAAGCUUCUCUUCUUUUUGGUACACUGAGCUGCUCCCUGUUUCCGGAAACGGAGGGCAGACGCAGGACUAUUUGGAAGCGUAACUAAAGUGCUCUAUCGGUGGAGGUAUUUAAGGUGCUCUGGAUAUCCGAAAGAUGCUGAAGUUUGGCGCCUUCUAUUUCUGAUUCUUAUACUGCUUACUAAUAUGUAGACUGUUCAUGUAAAUUCGUGUUUUUGUAAGUGGAAAUAAAUGUACAUCGCAAAUAUGUAUGUAAUUCCUUUUCAGUUGAAACUGUAUUUAAUAAUCAUUUAAAAUUUGGAAUUUGUAUUAAAAUUUCAUGAAUGAGGCUAGUAUUAUAUUGUUCUAAAUUAUAGUUAUCGUAGAUUACGUCAUUUCAUGCAGAAUAAUUUGUCAAGGGGUCAGGAGGAUAGGAAACGCCGAUUCCGCAUGAUUCUGCGCCAUGACAAAAAGAAGACAGACUCGCUGGUUCCUGCAACCGGUCUUCCGGAAAAACAUCGUUUACCGGCAUGACGUCGUCGAAGAGACUUCGAUUACCAAUUACGCAUGUGCGCUUCGACUAUUUGCAGCUGGGGGAAUAAAAAAUGGGAACGCGGUCAUACAUCGAGUCCGAUCCGGAUGAAUGUAAUCGCGCCAGUAUAAGUCGACAAUGAGCGCAGUUAGCGUACACGGUGUAUCAGGUACAUAAGCGGAAACGAAGACAGAGUCGAAGACAAACGGCGAAUAGCGAGAAAGAGAGAAGAAAGGGAGAAAGACGCGUAACGGCGGCGUCGUCGGCGUUACAUUAUAUAAUGACACAGAACGGAUUAAUCCUAGCGGCGGCGUCGCGGCGGCAACUCGGCCAGCAUAAUAGAUAUGCUCUUUCUUUGUUUCGUCCGCUCAUAAUGGCCGCGCCUCGCAAGAAAACGCGGAACACGGAGCAUUAUGCACUCCGCCGAGACGAACGAGAAUAAACCGAGUCUGAAUAGCUUUCUGAGUUUGUUUCCUUUCCUAUUCCCCCACCGUUCCUUUCUUUCUUUUCUCUCCUUUCUCAGCGUUCUUUCUUUUCUUUUCUCCUCUGUCCCGCACUCCACCUUUCUUCUUCCACCCACCCCCUUUCACUAUCCCCCAUUUUACGGAAGAUGCACAGCAGCUUGAUUUCGUAUUUGCGAUCUCUGUUUGGUCUGACCGAUAAGUUUUUGAAAUUGGGGUAGACUGAUCUUUCUGCCUGAAGUUGUGCCUGGUGAGUAAUUGCGGAGAUAUUCGAUGCUAUUGGUUUGAUUUGGCACGUUUGAUCUAUUUAUAUCUGUCAUGCAAUAGGUAGAAAACCUGCAGACAGAUUCCAAACACGAUCCAAAUCAGUGAGUCUUUUGGAUACACUGGUAGAAUUUUCGUACCAUUUUUAUUUCGUAAUUGUAUGAUAAAUACCUGUAUG
Bombus huntii is the source of this 2302-nucleotide long non-coding RNA. RefSeq lists it as uncharacterized. The record is from RefSeq and is a predicted model, not a curated record. The transcript is spliced from 3 exons. NCBI's taxonomy places the organism in Eukaryota, Metazoa, Arthropoda, Insecta, Hymenoptera, Apidae.